GGCUCAGGAUGAACGCUGGCGGCGUGCCUAAUACAUGCAAGUCGAGCGAAUGAUGAGGGCUUGCUCCUCUGAUUUAGCGGCGGACGGGUGAGUAACACGUGGGUAAUCUGCCUGUAAGACGGGGAUAACUCCGGGAAACCGGGGCUAAUACCGGAUAAUAAGAGAAGAAGCAUUUCUUCUUUUUGAAAGUCGGUUUCGGCUGACACUUACAGAUGAGCCCGCGGCGCAUUAGCUAGUUGGUGAGGUAACGGCUCACCAAGGCGACGAUGCGUAGCCGACCUGAGAGGGUGAUCGGCCACACUGGGACUGAGACACGGCCCAGACUCCUACGGGAGGCAGCAGUAGGGAAUCUUCGGCAAUGGGCGAAAGCCUGACCGAGCAACGCCGCGUGAGCGAUGAAGGCCUUCGGGUCGUAAAGCUCUGUUGUUAGAGAAGAACAAGUACGAGAGUAACUGCUCGUACCUUGACGGUACCUAACCAGAAAGCCACGGCUAACUACGUGCCAGCAGCCGCGGUAAUAC
Molecule: ribosomal RNA, 521 nt
Filed under: uncultured marine bacterium
Lineage: Bacteria
Description: bacterial SSU rRNA
Rfam family: Bacterial small subunit ribosomal RNA
Source: RNAcentral